GGGAGCAUGGUUUAGAGGUAUAACAUCUCAUUUGCAAGUUGACUUUGGUCAAUGAGAAAUUGAGAAGGUCUGGGGUUCGAUUCCCCAUUCUUCCA
Molecule: non-coding RNA, 95 nt
Organism: Terfezia boudieri ATCC MYA-4762
Lineage: Eukaryota; Fungi; Ascomycota; Pezizomycetes; Pezizales; Pezizaceae
Source: the annotation of a GenBank genome assembly